UAUAUAAUUUGGCCGAAUCCCUUGAAGGGAACGGGGGAACCAAAAGUAAUUGGGGUGAAGUCCGUCUGGACAGGGUAGCCUUUCGACCCUAACCCGUCAGCUAACCCCGUAGGCGUACGAAAGGAGGCAAU
Molecule: small RNA, 131 nt
Filed under: Thermobaculum terrenum
Lineage: Bacteria; Bacillati; Chloroflexota; Chloroflexia; Thermobaculales (SeqCode); Thermobaculaceae (SeqCode)
Also listed under: 1 other name
Description: c-di-AMP sequence
Rfam family: c-di-AMP riboswitch aptamer (ydaO/yuaA leader)
About the family: This family represents a conserved RNA structure found upstream of the ydaO and yuaA genes in Bacillus subtilis and related genes in other bacteria. The ydaO/yuaA element is thought to act as a genetic "off" switch for the ydaO and yuaA genes in its native state. It is believed that the element may be triggered during osmotic shock leading to activation of ydaO, a predicted amino acid transporter gene, and members of the yuaA-yubG operon which code for KtrA and KtrB K+ transporters.
Source: RNAcentral